AGAGUGCGUGUGGGUGUUGCUGCUCCAGGCAGGGCUCCUCGUGCAGACAGGGUGACAGCGUUCGAAAAGACCGUUCGGCAAUUUGCAGAGGAUCCAUGGGACAUUGUCAUAGUUCCAAAGAUAGGAACACGUUUCGACACUCUUGGUGAAGCCUACGACUUUUAAAAUUUAUAUUCGUGGGAGAAAGGAUUUGGCAUUAGAUAUGGAAAGAGCAGGCUGAAUGUGAACCGGACGAAGUGCAUGCAAGAGAUAGUGUGUGGAUGUGAGGGGAAGCCAAUCGUUGAAAAUACACGGUCUUGUCGCUGUCAAUGUCCGGCACUCAUAAGACUGUUGUGCUCCAAGGAUAAUGGGUGGUACAUAGCUGAGCAUCGGGAUAUGCACAACCAUGCAUUGUCGCACACGUAUGGACAGACACUGCACUGGCCAUCACACAAACAUAUUGAUCAGUACAGUAGGAACCUUGUGAAGCAGCUAAGUCAAAAUAAUGUCAAUCUUGCCAAGGUGUACAGCAUUAUCAGUAGCUUCUUUAGGAAGAUGGAGAAUGUACCUUUCACGAAGAGAGCUUUGCGGAAUCUGUGCGGAAAGAUAAGCUGUGAUCAGUCUGAGGAUGAUGUGAGGAAAACAAUGGAAGUAUUUCAAGAGCUGUGUGCAAAGGACCCGCAGUUUACAUAUCGAGUUCAAGCUGACAAUGAGGGCAGAAUCAGCACUCUGAUGUGGGCUACUGGCAACAGCCGGCUGCAAUACAGUUUCUUUGGUGAUGUUGUUACAUUUGAUACAGCCUACCGGAACCUCUAUGACAUGCCUUUUGGUUUAUUUGAGGGGAUGAACAAUCAUUUUCAGAGCAUUAUCCUUGCGGGAGUGUUGGUUCGAAGUGAGACAGUUGAAACAUUUGAGUGGGUAUUCUCUGAAUUUAUUAGGAUAAUGGGUGGCAAUGCACCACAAACAAUCCUGACAGGUAAUCAAAAAGUGAAUUGA
This 975-nucleotide ribosomal RNA is filed under the name Triticum aestivum (bread wheat). RNAcentral describes it as "partial small subunit ribosomal RNA". Lineage: Eukaryota; Viridiplantae; Streptophyta; Magnoliopsida; Poales; Poaceae. The record is from RNAcentral.